This 618-nucleotide ribosomal RNA is filed under the name uncultured bacterium. Its description in RNAcentral is "bacterial SSU rRNA". It matches the Rfam family "Bacterial small subunit ribosomal RNA", at positions 28 to 641 of the family's 1533-position model. The record is from RNAcentral.
GAUGAACGCUAGCGGCAGGCCUAAUACAUGCAAGUCGAGGGGUAACAUGAGAGCUUGCUCUUGAUGACGACCGGCGCACGGGUGCGUAACGCGUAUGCAACCUACCCACGACUGGAGGAUAGCCCGGAGAAAUUCGGAUUAAUACUCCAUAAUGCAGGGGUACAGCAUUGUACUAUUUGCUAAAGAUUUAUUGGUUGUGGAUGGGCAUGCGUCUGAUUAGUUAGUUGGUGAGGUAACGGCUCACCAAGACGAUGAUCAGUAGGGGGUCUGAGAGGAUGAUCCCCCACACUGGCACUGAGAUACGGGCCAGACUCCUACGGGAGGCAGCAGUAGGGAAUAUUGGGCAAUGGAGGCAACUCUGACCCAGCCAUGCCGCGUGAAGGAUGAAGGCCUUCUGGGUUGUAAACUUCUUUUAUACAGGAAGAAAAAGGUCAUGCGUGACCAAUUGACGGUACUGUAUGAAUAAGCACCGGCUAACUCCGUGCCAGCAGCCGCGGUAAUACGGAGGGUGCAAGCGUCGUCCGGAUUUAUUGGGUUUAAAGGGUGCGCAGGCGGUGCGUUAAGUCAGUGGUGAAAUCCCUCAGCUCAACUGAGGAACUGCCAUUGAUACUGGCGUAC